This 1456-nucleotide ribosomal RNA is filed under the name uncultured organism. Its description in RNAcentral is "16S ribosomal RNA". It matches the Rfam family "Bacterial small subunit ribosomal RNA". The record is from RNAcentral.
CGGCAGGCCUAACACAUGCAAGUCGAACGGUAGCACAGAGAGCUUGCUCUCGGGUGACGAGUGGCGGACGGGUGAGUAAUGUCUGGGAAACUGCCCGAUGGAGGGGGAUAACUACUGGAAACGGUAGCUAAUACCGCAUAAUGUCGCAAGACCAAAGUGGGGGACCUUCGGGCCUCACACCAUCGGAUGUGCCCAGAUGGGAUUAGCUAGUUGGUGAGGUAAUGGCUCACCAAGGCGACGAUCCCUAGCUGGUCUGAGAGGAUGACCAGCCACACUGGAACUGAGACACGGUCCAGACUCCUACGGGAGGCAGCAGUGGGGAAUAUUGCACAAUGGGCGCAAGCCUGAUGCAGCCAUGCCGCGUGUAUGAAGAAGGCCUUCGGGUUGUAAAGUACUUUCAGCGAGGAGGAAGGCAUUAAGGUUAAUAACCUUAGUGAUUGACGUUACUCGCAGAAGAAGCACCGGCUAACUCCGUGCCAGCAGCCGCGGUAAUACGGAGGGUGCAAGCGUUAAUCGGAAUUACUGGGCGUAAAGCGCACGCAGGCGGUCUGUCAAGUCAGAUGUGAAAUCCCCGGGGCUCAACCUGGGAACUGCAUUCGAAACUGGCAGGCUAGAGUCUUGUAGAGGGGGGUAGAAUUCCAGGUGUAGCGGUGAAAUGCGUAGAGAUCUGGAGGAAUACCGGUGGCGAAGGCGGCCCCCUGGACAAAGACUGACGCUCAGGUGCGAAAGCGUGGGGAGCAAACAGGAUUAGAUACCCUGGUAGUCCACGCCGUAAACGAUGUCUAUUUGGAGGUUGUUCCCUUGAGGAGUGGCUUCCGGAGCUAACGCGUUAAAUAGACCGCCUGGGGAGUACGGCCGCAAGGUUAAAACUCAAAUGAAUUGACGGGGGCCCGCACAAGCGGUGGAGCAUGUGGUUUAAUUCGAUGCAACGCGAAGAACCUUACCUACUCUUGACAUCCACGGAAUUUAGCAGAGAUGCUUUAGUGCCUUCGGGAACCGUGAGACAGGUGCUGCAUGGCUGUCGUCAGCUCGUGUUGUGAAAUGUUGGGUUAAGUCCCGCAACGAGCGCAACCCUUAUCCUUUGUUGCCAGCGGUUCGGCCGGGAACUCAAAGGAGACUGCCAGUGAUAAACUGGAGGAAGGUGGGGAUGACGUCAAGUCAUCAUGGCCCUUACGAGUAGGGCUACACACGUGCUACAAUGGCAUAUACAAAGAGAAGCGACCUCGCGAGAGCAAGCGGACCUCAUAAAGUAUGUCGUAGUCCGGAUUGGAGUCUGCAACUCGACUCCAUGAAGUCGGAAUCGCUAGUAAUCGUAGAUCAGAAUGCUACGGUGAAUACGUUCCCGGGCCUUGUACACACCGCCCGUCACACCAUGGGAGUGGGUUGCAAAAGAAGUAGGUAGCUUAACCUUCGGGAGGGCGCUUACCACUUUGUGAUUCAUGACUGGGGUGAAGUC